AUGCAGGAGAACCGCAGCCGUACCGGCCGCAGCCACCUGUUUUCCAGUUUCACGGAGACCGACAAACACGAUGUCAUCUCGAGCUUUCUUCUCGCUGGGCGGGACACGACGCCAUCGGCGCUGACGUGGUUCUUCUGGGCGACCUCGUUGAAGCCUGAGGUGAUGAAGAGCAUAGUUGAGGAGAUUAGACGGGUGAGAUUGG
RNAcentral lists this unclassified non-coding RNA (202 nucleotides) under Hevea brasiliensis (rubber tree). Lineage: Eukaryota; Viridiplantae; Streptophyta; Magnoliopsida; Malpighiales; Euphorbiaceae. The record is from RNAcentral.